AGGUCGUGGUGACGCGGUCGGGAGCGCACGGUACUGCUGGCUUCUAUCCCUCGUGGUCCCACUUCACCGCCUCCUUUUACGGCCACCUGUCCUUCCAGGGGGUCUUUCUUGGAGCACCGUCACCUGGAGUCACCUGUAGAUUGAGGUGUGCAUGGCAACCCCCCCGGCUCGCUGCGGGUGCUGGAAAAGGGAGGCGGGCCAAGGCCUCCGGCCCUAGAAAGUUGAGCAAGACCUGGCAACCUUCCCACAGAGGUGAUCAAUAAGUGCUUGUGGAAAGAACAAAUGAAUGGAUGGAUGGAGGAGGAGUCAGAAGGAGCACUCAGGAUGCCUUCCAGCUUUUCCAUGUGGGAGCAAGAAGUGAUGGUGAUCCUGGAGGAAGAGUCAACAUUCGCUCUUUUGAGUUUAUUUAGAAGACAGAGCUGCAUCAAGCCUCUGGGGCACACUGGCUACCCGUCUGCAGGCAAAGAUCCAGUCCCUUCUUAACAGCUGCUCAAGCACACAUCUGCUGAUGGACUGAAUGAAUGAUCAAGGGAAUAAGUGACUGAUGAUGUGAAAAUACACAGCACAGAGACGUAAACACAAAUGCCAACAAGAGUCACGAUGGUUAAGGUUCAUGAGCAGGUGGAAGGCAGGUGGCACUCAUAAGUUGGAAAAUGCAAGAAAACAGAUUCUCCCCAAAGCCUCCAGAAGCAACACAGUCUUGCUGACUCACUUUGGACUUCUGACCUCCAGAACUAUAAGAAUAAUACAUCUCUACAAUUUGUAAUUUGUAGUUUGUUACAGCACAAGUUUGGAAACUAAAAAAGUGACUGAGAGGAUGGAUAAGAAAGUAUUUGGAUGACUCUUAAUAUACUGGAUCCUCUAUUUCUUGACAUACUCAUCAUCAACUCAACUGGUGCUUCCAGAGGCGGACAUGUGUUUCUCUAUCGAACUCCUUCCUCCACCAUGUGCAGCAAUCAUUUAAUUUCAAAGCUCUCCCCACUCUCACCACACCUCUUACCUCCUCUUCCUACCUGGCUAUCAGCAGUUGAUCUGCCUCCUGAAAUCAGUCGGAAUGAAGUCAACGAGUUGGAUUGGAAACUUCAUUGAAUGAAGGAGAGUUUCCAGGAGGUUACGACAAAGAUGGAGAAAGAUGUCUUACGAAAAGAACACUCAACAGAGCUGCAAAAUGAUGAACGUGGCAUUUGGACUGGACUCUGCAGGACUGGGGAAACAGAGAAGUUGGCUGAACUGAGGGGUUCUGGCAGAUGAGCCAUUCCAGCUCCUCCUUCUGUAGAUGAGCCCCCUGAAGCCCAGAGAGGAAGAGUGAUUUGCUGAAGGUCACCCAUCAUGUCCAGCGCGCUUCAUACGAAGCAGAACAACCUCCCUUCUCUCCCUCCUUCGGCCACGAUGGGAGGGAGACUUGGCAUUGCCUCAGACCCUCCCCCAAAGAUUCUGCUUCUUUUUGCUGCUGGAAUCAGAAGGAUGAGCCAGUGAUGUUUGACAGUGAGCACGGAUUGCUAUUUUUAAUUGAAAUGAGCAAUACAUAAGAAGAAGGAAAGACCUCCAGAGUGUAACUGCCAAAAUAAGGAUCACCCUACUGGGAUGCUGUGUCCAUAUUCCACUCACUCAGCUCAGAGUGUUUGGAUUCUCCUGGGAAUGGCCUUCAGUGGCAGUUAACAGCAUGAGAAAUUUGCUCUUAUUCUUGUUUUUAUCCUUUAAAAUUACCUUUACAAAAAUGUUAAUAGGAAGCAGCAUUGCCCACGUUGGUCCUUGCCUGAUGGACCAUCCCUGACUCUGAAUAUGCUUUUACUCCUUUAAAAAAUCAUGGAGUUCCCAUUGUGGUGCAGCGGAAACGAAUCUGACUAGGCACCAUGAAGUUGCGGGUUUGAUCCCUGGCCUCGCUCAGUAGGUUAAGGAUCUGGCGUUGCUGUGAGCUGUGGUGUGGGUCGCAGAUGCGGCUUGGAUCUGGCAUUGCUGUGGCUCUGGCGUGGGCCGGCGGCUGCUGCUCCGAUUCGACCCCUGGCCUGGGAACCUCCAUAUGCCAUGGGUGUGGCCCUAAAAAGGACAAAAGACCCCCCCAAAAAAAAUCUGCCUCCAGCCCCCGCCCCCCUGCCCCUGCCUGGAAGGCAAACAUGCUAUCACUGGAGAUAUUGUGGGGACACACUCAGGCUCUUGGGCCUCAGUUUCCCCAUCUGAGUUGGAAGAGGUUGGACUAAAUGGCCUCGAUGAUCGGCGAAUGUUUUAGGAUUCCAAGGCCGCCAGCAUAGGGUUGCUGUUCUUGGCAUACUCUGGACAGCUUAGGUGCCAGAGAAACCCACCCACGGUCCUCAGCCAGCAUAGGGUUGCUGUUCUUGGCAUACUCUGGACAGCUUAGGUGCCAGAGAAACCCACCACGGUCCUCAGCCAGACCUUCAACCACUGGUUCACCUCCCCUCGAAUCACCUCCCCCUGCUCACGCCCCCCCACCCCCUCCACUCCAAUGUGAGUCACCCAGCUGGGGAUGAACGUGCCCUGUGGCCAUGUCCUCCUCCAUCCAUGGGCCCAGAUGGCCCACGCUUUAAGGUCUCUUAUUGAUUCUUGCAUGAUCUCUGAUCAACUAGUUUGGAUUCCCAUUGCUUUUUCUCUAUUGAUCACCUGGGUUAUAGAAGCUCAAAUGACCACUUGAUCCUGCUUCUCCUGUGAUCCAUCCCUUCACAUACUACACCUGCAGAAAAAGAGAUACCGAACCAACACAGCUACACACUCGUAACCCCGAGACGAACCCUAAAUAUCAGGGGCCCCCAAAUAAUAAACCCUUGGAUACUUCCCUUAAUCCUGGACGCUCCCUAAGAAAGACAAUUUUAUCCUUGAUUUUUGCUGUCUCAGAGGAUGCCUUCGUGAUUGUGAACCUCAUGUGAGGAAGUUGCUGUUUUCAUGCCACGAGCAGACGAAUGCAAACCCGGUGAGCUUGGUGACGUGGCAGUUGUUUUUCUUUAAGUAAUUGCUGUGCUUUGUGUUUGGGGAGCCCAUCCUUCCGAAGCUUGACUCCCUAGCGCUCUGCAAGUAAAAUGUUCUUUUCUUCUCU
RNAcentral lists this long non-coding RNA (3046 nucleotides) under Sus scrofa (pig). Its description in RNAcentral is "lncRNA (ENSSSCG00060014928.1)". The record is from RNAcentral. Lineage: Eukaryota; Metazoa; Chordata; Mammalia; Artiodactyla; Suidae.